GGUUAAUGAUGAAUUAUGUAAAAGGUCUGAUUCCAUCCAGUCGCUUACUUCGUGCAGUCUCCAAGUUGGCUGUUACGAUGUUGUCAAGCCUAAAUC
This is a non-coding RNA of Paramuricea clavata, 96 nucleotides long. The record is from the annotation of a GenBank genome assembly. Lineage: Eukaryota; Metazoa; Cnidaria; Anthozoa; Malacalcyonacea; Plexauridae.